RNAcentral lists this ribosomal RNA (528 nucleotides) under uncultured bacterium. RNAcentral's name for it is "bacterial SSU rRNA". It matches the Rfam family "Bacterial small subunit ribosomal RNA", at positions 56 to 573 of the family's 1533-position model. The record is from RNAcentral.
UGCAAGUCGAGGGGCAGCAUGAUUGAAGCUUGCUUCAAUUGACGGCGACCGGCGCACGGGUGAGUAACGCGUAUCCAACCUUCCGUACACUCAGGGAUAGCCUUUCGAAAGAAAGAUUAAUACCUGAUGGUAUGAUGAGAUUGCAUGAUAUCAUCAUUAAAGAUUCAUCGGUGUACGAUGAGGAUGCGUUCCAUUAGGUAGUAGGCGGGGUAACGGCCCACCUAGCCUACGAUGGAUAGGGGUUCUGAGAGGAAGGUCCCCCACAUUGGAACUGAGACACGGUCCAAACUCCUACGGGAGGCAGCAGUGAGGAAUAUUGGUCAAUGGACGAGAGUCUGAACCAGCCAAGUAGCGUGAAGGAUGAAGGUCCUACGGAUUGUAAACUUCUUUUAUAAGGGAAUAAAACCUCCCACGUGUGGGAGCUUGUAUGUACCUUAUGAAUAAGCAUCGGCUAACUCCGUGCCAGCAGCCGCGGUAAUACGGAGGAUGCGAGCGUUAUCCGGAUUUAUUGGGUUUAAAGGGAGCGCA